Non-coding RNA from Gossypium arboreum, 107 nucleotides. NCBI's taxonomy places the organism in Eukaryota, Viridiplantae, Streptophyta, Magnoliopsida, Malvales, Malvaceae. The record is from Rfam.
AACCCAUGGUGAGGACACCUUCUCAAUAGAUCCUUAUACCUCUCCCAUGCAUCAUAAACGGUCUCUAAGUCCAUCUAAACGAAGGAAGAGAUAUCAUUCCUCAUCUU